Molecule: ribosomal RNA, 656 nt
Filed under: uncultured bacterium
Lineage: Bacteria
Description: bacterial SSU rRNA
Rfam family: Bacterial small subunit ribosomal RNA
Source: RNAcentral
GUUAUUAAAGUUCACAACGGUAAAAGAUGAGCAUGCGUCCCAUUAGGUUAGUGGUAAGGUAACGGCUUACCAAGGCUACGAUGGGUAGGGGUCCUGAGAGGGAGAUCCCCCACACUGGUACUGAGACACGGACCAGACUCCUACGGGAGGCAGCAGUGAGGAAUAUUGGACAAUGGGCGCAAGCCUGAUCCAGCCAUGCCGCGUGCAGGAUGACGGUCCUAUGGAUUGUAAACUGCUUUUGUACGAGAAGAAACACCUCUACGUGUAGAGACUUGACGGUAUCGUAAGAAUAAGGAUCGGCUAACUCCGUGCCAGCAGCCGCGGUAAUACGGAGGAUCCAAGCGUUAUCCGGAAUCAUUGGGUUUAAAGGGUCCGUAGGCGGUUUAGUAAGUCAGUGGUGAAAGCCCAUCGCUCAACGGUGGAACGGCCAUUGAUACUGCUGAACUUGAAUUAUUAGGAAGUAACUAGAAUAUGUAGUGUAGCGGUGAAAUGCUUAGAGAUUACAUGGAAUACCAAUUGCGAAGGCAGGUUACUACUAAUGGAUUGACGCUGAUGGACGAAAGCGUGGGUAGCGAACAGGAUUAGAUACCCUGGUAGUCCACGCCGUAAACGAUGGAUACUAGCUGUUGGGAGCAAUUUCAGUGGCUAAGCGAAAG